Myiozetetes cayanensis is the source of this 1601-nucleotide long non-coding RNA. RefSeq lists it as uncharacterized. The transcript is spliced from 3 exons. The record is from RefSeq and is a predicted model, not a curated record. NCBI's taxonomy places the organism in Eukaryota, Metazoa, Chordata, Aves, Passeriformes, Tyrannidae.
GUUUGACACUGGCUUUGAAGUUGCCUGGCUUACUUCUGAAUGAAAAGUUAGCUCCCAGCGAAGCGGUUCUCAAGUGUUUUUCUUCCACCUACCGCUUUCUCUUACAGAUUACAGUCAAAUUUUACAGCUUGCCUUUAAGCUCACAGAAACCUGCAUGCAAACCAAGCUGGCUGCCUUUCUCCAGCACAGGCCAUGCUGAGGAGGGAAAGGAGCAAGGGAGAUUUGUGCUGAGAAGGAGGUGCUGGGCUUAGCAUGCACCAAGUUCCAAGAAAAAGGAACUCCUUGCCACUUUUUCCAGGACCUGAUAAAAGAGUGCCAUUAGAUAAUACCAUCAAAUAAACUUGUCCUCCUUGAUACAGGAGGGGAUAGGAAACCGUAAUAAAAGUUGAGACACUCAAAGAAUACUUAUGUAAAUCAUCAUCCCUUUAUGAUUCAAACUUUUGCUGUAGGUUUCACCCUUUAUCCUUGCAGAUAAAUAAGGAGAAACAAUGGAAUUUGCUUUUAUGAGCUUUCAUAAAGCCACAAUUGCUUCACAGCAUUCUCUGGUAGGAACAGUGAAGUUAGGGGAGGUUCUCAUUAGCUGUGCUAGGUCUGGAACCGUGGAGCAGCACCCCUAUGGACUCACUGCAGUCCUGUCCCUCUUGUGCUACAGCUGUCCCUAGGUGGGCUUGGAUGAGUCAUGGUUCUAAGUGCUUGAGAUGUUUGUGGAAGAGGAGCUGCUGAGAAGCAAAACCUUAAGCUGAAGCCUAGGGAAAGCAGAAGAAUCCCCCUUCCUGUCGUUGCAGCAAAGAGAAAGAGAGGUCACUCUGGAAUUGGGGAUUUGAAGAGUCACAGGUAAACAGAUUUAUGAAGCUACUGCCAGUUGAAGAAGUCCAUUCCAAACAUGAAAGGCAACAUCAGGAGAAGUAUAGAAGUGCUCGAGUGGCUGGAAGACAUAUGAACAAUUUAGACUAGGUUUAUUGGAGGAACAGAACAGUGUUCUAUUUCUAUUCCUGAAGAUAUCAAGUCAUGCAAGGCCACCAUCAUCUUUCUACAUGGAAUAUCACUGAACUCACUUUGCCAGAUGAUUUUUCCUAGUGAUUAAUCAAUUUUUUUAAGACAUGGAACCUGGCUCAUCCCAUCACAUUUCUCUACAAGGUUGGGUCCUUAGAAGCUGAGUUGGAAACUGAUGGUCAGUAACUUGUAAUAAAUAAAUAAAGUGUUUAACACUAAUAUUAUUUCUAUAUUUAUUAAACUGUAAUGAAACCAUCUAUUUUUAUUUUUAAAAUAAAUUGAUUGAUUAAUUAAAUAAAUAAAAAUUUAAUUUGAUUAAUUUAUUAAACCAUAAAGAAACAUUUGUGAGUUUCAUUCUUUCUAACAGUGAUUCUAUUUAUUGCAAUAGCAUUAGAUGGUGUAUGGUAUGAAAUAUAUGUCAGAUGACACAAUUCCUAUUAAAGGUCUAGGAUAUUAAUUUAAAGGUGUUUUCAAUUCCUUCCAAGGAAAAUCAGACAGGAUAAAAUUCCCUUUUUCCCAGAGUAGCUUCAGUCACACAUCACCAGUAUAAUAUAUGUCAUUUAAUAACAACAAGGGCAUGAAGGCCAGUGCAAGUUGAACUUAUGCAA